UUUUUAUCUUUUUUCUUUAAAAAUUUAUUUUCUUCUACGUCGUGCCAAUGUUGAAUUAUAAUGUUUCGACCAACCAUGAAUAUCCAUAUUUUUGUAGAGCUUAUAACAAUAUGCAACUAAAUAAAUUCGAUCAAUUUAGAGUAUAGAAAGUAUCUGAAACGUUUUAAUUCAUUCUUCAUAGAAAACAUGAUGUGCAGUUCAAUUGAAUGAAGUAGGCAGAUAUUUAAUCACUAAUGAACAUUCAAAUGCAACAAAGUUUAUAUUCGAAUAACUUACGUGGGAA
RNAcentral lists this long non-coding RNA (283 nucleotides) under Lathyrus oleraceus (garden pea). RNAcentral describes it as "Pisum sativum (pea) long non-coding RNA (PSAT_LNC017520)". Lineage: Eukaryota; Viridiplantae; Streptophyta; Magnoliopsida; Fabales; Fabaceae. The record is from RNAcentral.